GACGAACGCUGGCGGCGUGCUUAACACAUGCAAGUCGAACGGAAAGGCCCUGCUUUUGUGGGGUGCUCGAGUGGCGAACGGGUGAGUAACACGUGAGUAACCUGCCCUUGACUUUGGGAUAACUUCAGGAAACUGGGGCUAAUACCGGAUAGGAGCUCCUGCUGCAUGGUGGGGGUUGGAAAGUUUCGGCGGUUGGGGAUGGACUCGCGGCUUAUCAGCUUGUUGGUGGGGUAGUGGCUUACCAAGGCUUUGACGGGUAGCCGGCCUGUGAGGGUGACCGGCCACAUUGGGACUGAGAUACGGCCCAGACUCCUACGGGAGGCAGCAGUGGGGAAUAUUGCACAAUGGGCGGAAGCCUGAUGCAGCAACGCCGCGUGCGGGAUGACGGCCUUCGGGUUGUAAACCGCUUUCGCCUGUGACGAAGCGUGAGUGACGGUAAUGGGUAAAGAAGCACCGGCUAACUACGUGCCAGCAGCCGCGGUGAUACGUAGGGUGCGAGCGUUGUCCGGAUUUAUUGGGCGUAAAGGGCUCGUAGGUGGUUGAUCGCGUCGGAAGUGUAAUCUUGGGGCUUAACCCUGAGCGUGCUUUCGAUACGGGUUGACUUGAGGAAGGUAGGGGAGAAUGGAAUUCCUGGUGGGGCGGUGGAAUGCGCAGAUAUCAGGAGGAACACCAGUGGCGAAGGCGGUUCUCUGGGCCUUUCCUGACGCUGAGGAGCGAAAGCGUGGGGAGCGAACAGGCUUAGAUACCCUGGUAGUCCACGCUGUAAACGGUGGGUACUAGGUGUGGGGUCCAUUCCACGGGUUCCGUGCCGUAGCUAACGCUUUAAGUACCCCGCCUGGGGAGUACGGCCGCAAGGCUAAAACUCAAAGGAAUUGACGGGGCCCCGCACAAGCGGCGGAGCAUGCGGAUUAAUUCGAUGCAACGCGUAGAACCUUACCUGGGUUUGACAUGGGUCGGGAGUGCUCAGAGAUGGGUGUGCCUCUUUUGGGGUCGGUUCACAGGUGGUGCAUGGCUGUCGUCAGCUCGUGUCGUGAGAUGUUGGGUUAAGUCCCGCAACGAGCGCAACCCUUGUUCACUGUUGCCAGCACGUUAUGGUGGGGACUCAGUGGAGACCGCCGGGGUCAACUCGGAGGAAGGUGGGGAUGACGUCAAGUCAUCAUGCCCCUUAUGUCCAGGGCUUCACGCAUGCUACAAUGGCUGGUACAGAGAGUGGCGAGCCUGUGAGGGUGAGCGAAUCUCGGAAAGCCGGUCUCAGUUCGGAUUGGGGUCUGCAACUCGACCUCAUGAAGUCGGAGUCGCUAGUAAUCGCAGAUCAGCAACGCUGCGGUGAAUACGUUCCCGGG
This 1343-nucleotide ribosomal RNA is filed under the name uncultured bacterium. Its description in RNAcentral is "16S ribosomal RNA". It matches the Rfam family "Bacterial small subunit ribosomal RNA", at positions 28 to 1378 of the family's 1533-position model. The record is from RNAcentral.